This 253-nucleotide ribosomal RNA is filed under the name uncultured bacterium. RNAcentral's name for it is "partial 16S ribosomal RNA". It matches the Rfam family "Bacterial small subunit ribosomal RNA", at positions 524 to 776 of the family's 1533-position model. The record is from RNAcentral.
UACGUAGGGUGCAAGCGUUGUCCGGAAUUAUUGGGCGUAAAGAGCUCGUAGGCGGCUUGUCGCGUCGGCUGUGAAAACCUGGGGCUCAACCCCGGGCCUGCAGCCGAUACGGGCAAGCUAGAAUUCGGUAGGGGAGACUGGAAUUCCCGGUGUAGCGGUGAAAUGCGCAGAUAUCGGGAGGAACACCGGUGGCGAAGGCGGUUCUCUGGGCCUUACCUGACGCUGAGGAGCGAAAGCGUGGGGAGCGAACAGG